CCUACGGGAGGCAGCAGUGGGGAAUUUUGGACAAUGGGCGCAAGCCUGAUCCAGCAAUGCCGCGUGCAGGAUGAAGGCCUUCGGGUUGUAAACUGCUUUUGUACGGAACGAAACGGCGAGCUCUAAUAAAGCUCGCUAAUGACGGUACCGUAAGAAUAAGCACCGGCUAACUACGUGCCAGCAGCCGCGGUAAUACGUAGGGUGCAAGCGUUAAUCGGAAUUACUGGGCGUAAAGCGUGCGCAGGCGGUGAUGUAAGACAGAUGUGAAAUCCCCGGGCUCAACCUGGGACCUGCAUUUGUGACUGCAUCGCUAGAGUACGGUAGAGGGGGAUGGAAUUCCGCGUGUAGCAGUGAAAUGCGUAGAUAUGCGGAGGAACACCGAUGGCGAAGGCAAUCCCCUGGGCCUGUACUGACGCUCAUGCACGAAAGCGUGGGGAGCAAACAGGAUUAGAUACCCUGGUAGUCCACGCCCUAAACGAUGUCAACUGGUUGUUGGGUCUUCACUGACUCAGUAACGAAGCUAACGCGUGAAGUUGACCGCCUGGGGAGUACGGCCGCAAGGUUGAAACUUAAAGGAAAUUGACGG
This 586-nucleotide ribosomal RNA is filed under the name uncultured bacterium. RNAcentral's name for it is "bacterial SSU rRNA". It matches the Rfam family "Bacterial small subunit ribosomal RNA", at positions 338 to 916 of the family's 1533-position model. The record is from RNAcentral.